AUUGAACGCUGGCGGCAUGCCUUACACAUGCAAGUCGAACGGCAGCACGGGUGCUUGCACCUGGUGGCGAGCGGCGAACGGGUGAGUAAUACAUCGGAACAUGUCCUGUAGUGGGGGAUAGCCCGGCGAAAGCCGGAUUAAUACCGCAUUCGAUCUACGGAUGAAAGCGGGGGACCCUCGGGCCUCGCGCUAUAGGGUUGGCCGAUGGCUGAUUAGCUAGUUGGUGGGGUAAAGGCCUACCAAGGCGACGAUCAGUAGCUGGUCUGAGAGGACGACCAGCCACACUGGGACUGAGACACGGCCCAGACUCCUACGGGAGGCAGCAGUGGGGAAUUUUGGACAAUGGGCGAAAGCCUGAUCCAGCAAUGCCGCGUGUGUGAAGAAGGCCUUCGGGUUGUAAAGCACUUUUGUCCGGAAAGAAAUCCUUGGCCCUAAUACGGUCGGGGGAUGACGGUACCGGAAGAAUAAGCACCGGCUAACUACGUG
RNAcentral lists this ribosomal RNA (486 nucleotides) under uncultured bacterium. RNAcentral describes it as "partial 16S ribosomal RNA". It matches the Rfam family "Bacterial small subunit ribosomal RNA", at positions 30 to 507 of the family's 1533-position model. The record is from RNAcentral.